GAUGAACGCUGGCGGCGUGCUUAACACAUGCAAGUCGAACGGAAAGGCCCAAGCUUGCUUGGGUGCUCGAGUGGCGAACGGGUGAGUAACACGUGGGUGAUCUGCCCUGCACUUUGGGAUAAGCCUGGGAAACUGGGUCUAAUACCGGAUAGGACCAUCGUUUAGUGUCGGUGGUGGAAAGUUUUUCGGUGUGGGAUGAGCUCGCGGCCUAUCAGCUUGUUGGUGGGGUAAUGGCCUACCAAGGCGUCGACGGGUAGCCGGCCUGAGAGGGUGUACGGCCACAGUGGGACUGGGAUACAGCCCAGACUCCUACGGGAGGCAGCAGUGGGGAAGAUUGAACAAUGGGCGCAAGCCAGAGGCAGCGACGCCGCGUGGGGGAUGACGGCCUUCGGGUUGUAAUCUCCUUUCGCCAAGGACGAAGCGUUUUGUGACGGUACUUGGAGAAGAAGCACCGGCUAACUACGUG
Molecule: ribosomal RNA, 466 nt
Filed under: uncultured bacterium
Lineage: Bacteria
Description: partial 16S ribosomal RNA
Rfam family: Bacterial small subunit ribosomal RNA
Source: RNAcentral